GAGGGGAUAGCUCAGUGGUAGAGUACAUGCCUAGUAUGCACGAGGUCCUGGGUUCAAUCACCAGUACCUCCA
RNAcentral lists this transfer RNA (72 nucleotides) under Camelus bactrianus (Bactrian camel). It matches the Rfam family "tRNA". Rfam says of the family: Transfer RNA (tRNA) molecules are approximately 80 nucleotides in length. Their secondary structure includes four short double-helical elements and three loops (D, anti-codon, and T loops). Lineage: Eukaryota; Metazoa; Chordata; Mammalia; Artiodactyla; Camelidae. RNAcentral also lists the same sequence under 2 other names. The record is from Rfam by way of RNAcentral.